AUUGAACGCUGGCGGAAUGCUUUACACAUGCAAGUCGAACGGCAGCACGGGUGCUUGCACCUGGUGGCGAGUGGCGAACGGGUGAGUAAUGCACCGGAACGUAUCCAAUAAUGGGGGAUAACGCACCGAAAGGUGUGCUAAUACCGCAUACGCCCUGAGGGGGAAAGCGGGGGAUCGUAAGACCUCGCGUUAAUGGAGCGGCCGAUGCCGGAUUAGCUAGUUGGUGAGGUAAAGGCUCACCAAGGCGACGAUCCGUAGCUGGUCUGAGAGGACGAUCCGCCACACUGGAACUGAAACACGGUCCAGACUCCUACGGGAGGCAGCAGUGGGGAAUUUUGGACAAUGGGCGCAAGCCUGAUCCAGCCAUGCCGCGUGAGUGAAGAAGGCCU
RNAcentral lists this ribosomal RNA (389 nucleotides) under uncultured bacterium. Its description in RNAcentral is "bacterial SSU rRNA". It matches the Rfam family "Bacterial small subunit ribosomal RNA", at positions 30 to 417 of the family's 1533-position model. The record is from RNAcentral.